GCUGGGCGUGGUGGUGCAUGCCUGUAAUCCCGGCUACUACUCAGGAGGCUGAGGCAGGAGAAUCACUUGAACCCAGGAAGUGGAAGUUGCAGUGAGCUGGGAUCGUGCCACUGCACUCCAGCCUGGGUGACAGAGAGAGACUCUGUCUCAA
Papio anubis (olive baboon) is the source of this 151-nucleotide unclassified non-coding RNA. It matches the Rfam family "Metazoan signal recognition particle RNA". Rfam says of the family: The signal recognition particle (SRP) is a universally conserved ribonucleoprotein. Lineage: Eukaryota; Metazoa; Chordata; Mammalia; Primates; Cercopithecidae. The record is from Ensembl.